RNAcentral lists this ribosomal RNA (446 nucleotides) under uncultured bacterium. Its description in RNAcentral is "partial 16S ribosomal RNA". It matches the Rfam family "Bacterial small subunit ribosomal RNA", at positions 338 to 795 of the family's 1533-position model. The record is from RNAcentral.
CCUACGGGAGGCAGCAGUCGAGAAUCAUUCACAAUGGGGGAAACCCUGAUGGUGCGACGCCGCGUGGGGGAAUGAAGGUCUUCGGAUUGUAAACCCCUGUCAUGUGGGAGCAAAUUAAAAAGAUAGUACCACAAGAGGAAGAGACGGCUAACUCUGUGCCAGCAGCCGCGGUAAUACAGAGGUCUCAAGCGUUGUUCGGAAUCACUGGGCGUAAAGCGUGCGUAGGCUGUUUCGUAAGUCGUGUGUGAAAGGCGCGGGCUCAACCCGCGGACGGCACAUGAUACUGCGCGGCUGGAGUGAAGGAGAGGGAACUGGAAUUCCCGGUGUAGCAGUGAAAUGCGUAGAUAUCGAGAGGAACACUAGUGGCGAAGGCGGGUUCCUGGACAUUAACUGACGCUGAGGCACGAAGGCCAGGGGAGCGAAAGGGAUUAGAUACCCUUGUAGUC